Tribolium castaneum (red flour beetle) is the source of this 1901-nucleotide long non-coding RNA. RefSeq lists it as uncharacterized. The record is from RefSeq and is a predicted model, not a curated record. The transcript is spliced from 2 exons. NCBI's taxonomy places the organism in Eukaryota, Metazoa, Arthropoda, Insecta, Coleoptera, Tenebrionidae.
GUUAGCUGUUCUUAAUUGUUAGAUAUAAAGCAAAAAUUAAAUUGUAAGUAGGCAACUUUUAAUGCAUCCUUCUUCGAAUGCGUAGCUAGCUGGAAGAAGAUUUAUGACGGGUUUAGGACGCACCGCUGGAGGUAACCACCAUUGAGGUGACCCACAAGAUAAUAAUUUUAUUGCAUUUGUUCAAGACAGAGAAAUGUAUCGACACAAAUAGGAAUUUUAGCGAUUUCUCUAAUAGUGGUAUAAAAUUAAAGCACAUGAUUUCAGAAUUAAUUUUUUUAACAAAAUAAUUAGGUACCUAUAGAUUUGCAUUACGUUUUUUUUGUAGACACUGCUAUCAACGUAUCUUAUGAGAUUUUGAAAUACGAGUAAUCACGCUCGCUAUUUUUUUGAAUACUUUUAACAAUAAAAUUAUUCCUGUUUAAAAAAAAAUAUAAAAAAAAGAUGAUUAAAACUUUGGUUGUACUUAGCUUCGUUCUGCACAGGUUUUGUGAUAGAACUACUGAGCUCCCUCACCACGACAAGGUGUCAACCCACUGAGGAAGUUUUAUUUUUUAUUUUUAUUGUUCAAAUUAAAAAUUAUAAUUAUUAUUAAAAUGCUUAUCAUCAUAUUAUGUAUUUAUGUAAAAAUCUCUAAAACUAAACUUGAAAUAUUAUUUACAAAUCCUUUUUUAUUAUGCUGCGUAAUGGUAAAUUGCGACUAUGUCUUGAAUCAAUUAUUUCUGGUAACAUGGCAUUCAUAUAAAAAUUUUCAAGACAAUCUAUCAUUCUUCCGUUCCAAUAUUUAUUAUCGUCUUUCUCAAUAAUACAAUAUUUUAAAUCUGUAGAGGUGUACACUAUAAAAUAACAAGUUUGGCGAUUAGUAAUGUGGAGCUGACCUUGUACUUGAUACAUGUAAUUAUCUUUUUCUUUUAAAACUAUUUUACUAUCAUCUUGAGAAUCUAUUUCUAAGUAUUUAAUCAAUUUUUGUUCUAUGGCAGUUUUAAUAUUUGUGUUUCUUGCGCUAAAUGGACAUUUAAUUUCAACAAUAGCAUUUGAACCCACUAACCCAUCUGGUGUUGCACCUAAAAAAUUUUUUUCUUUAUCAACAAAAAAGCCGCAUGAAUCUACCUUUAUACCUGUGAUCUGUUCAAACUUCUCCUUUGCUUUCUCUUCAUUAUCAAUUCCCCACUGUAGUAGUUCGGGUAAUUUUUUUAAUUUAGAUAAUCCCACACGAUACAAGAUAUCUUUUACAGCAUUCGCUGUAUUGGUCGUACAUUUCAUAUUAAUAAUUCUUCCGAAAUUACUAGCCGUUAAUCUAUUAUUUCUUUCUUUAUCCCACUGCUCAUUAUUACGUUGACCAAUUGUUAACAAAGGAAUUUUUAAAAUAUCGCAAGCAGCCAAAUCAUUCAAGAACUCAUUUUUUAUAUUGUCAUAUGUUUCUAUUGGCAUGUCUAUUAUGUCAUUAGUCGCACCAUAAUCCGAAUCUGCACUUUGAAUACGAAUUUUUCUUUUAUUUAAUUUUGUAGCAUGAAGUUCUUUGGUUUUUAAUAAGCGAUUUGAAAAUUUUGUGGUGUAAAUGCCACUAUUCCCUGAUAUUUUCUCCAUAAUUUUAAAUACAAAUUUGUUUUUGUUAUUUACAUUUACGACUGCCGCAAAGCAUCUUCCAUGAUAAGAACCGCGUUCUGAAAAAUUUAUUCUUUUACCUCCAACAAGUUUGUUAACUACUGAAUUAAAUGACUCAACAGAAUUAUUAUCGACAUCAUACAAUAGACUUGAAGAUAAAUUUGCAACUCGUUUUAAUGCCUGCAUGAACAACUCAAACAAGGAACUAUUUUUAAAGUCAGAAUAUGCAACUGCAUUUGUUAUUUGACCAACUGUUUUACAAAAAUACGUAGCGCACUUUGAAUGAUUACCAAAAAUAU